RNAcentral lists this ribosomal RNA (468 nucleotides) under uncultured bacterium. RNAcentral's name for it is "partial 16S ribosomal RNA". It matches the Rfam family "Bacterial small subunit ribosomal RNA", at positions 28 to 507 of the family's 1533-position model. The record is from RNAcentral.
GACGAACGCUGGCGGCGUGCUUAACACAUGCAAGUCGAACGGAAAGGCCCUGCUUUUGUGGGGUGCUCGAGUGGCGCACGGGUGAGUAACACGUGAGUAACCUGACCUUUGCUUUGGGAUAACUUCAGGAAACUGGGGAUAAUACCGGAUAGGAGCUCCUGAUGCCUGGUGGGGGUUGGACAGUUUCGGCGGGUGGGGAUGGACUCGGGGCUUAUCAGCUUGUUGGUGGAGUAGUGGCCUACCAAGGCUUUGACGGGUAGUCGGCCUGAGAGGGUGACCGGGCACAUUGGGCCUGAGGGAGGGAGCAGUGGCCAAUGGGAGGCAGUAGGGGGGAAUAUGGCACAGUGGGGGGGAGUCUGAUGUGGCGACGUCCGGUGCGGGAUGAAGGCUUUGGGGUUGUAAACCGGAUUGGCCUGUGACGAAGGGUGAGUGACGGUAAUGGGUAAAGAAGCACCGGCUAACUACGUG